RNAcentral lists this ribosomal RNA (403 nucleotides) under uncultured bacterium. RNAcentral describes it as "partial 16S ribosomal RNA". It matches the Rfam family "Bacterial small subunit ribosomal RNA", at positions 30 to 526 of the family's 1533-position model. The record is from RNAcentral.
AUUGAACGCUGGCGGCAGGCCUAACACAUGCAAGUCGAGCGAGCGGCGGACGGGUGAGUAAUGUAUGGGGACUGCCCGUUAGAGGGGGAUAACUACUGGAAAAGGUGGCUCAUACCGCAUACUGUAGGAUAACCCAUAUGGGAUUUGCUAGUAGGUAUGGUAAUGGCUUACCUAGGCGACGAUCCCUAGCUGGUCUGAGAGGAUGAUCAGCCACACUGGGACUGAGACACGGCCCAGACUCCUACGGAGGCAGCAGUGGGGAAUAUUGCACAAUGGGCGCAAGCCUGAUGCAGCCAUGCCGCGUGUAUGAAGAAGGCCCUAGGGUUGUAAAGUACUUUCAGUCGGGAGGCGUUACCGACAGAAGAAGCACCGGCUAACUCCGUGCCAGCAGCCGCGGUAAUAC